RNAcentral lists this ribosomal RNA (96 nucleotides) under bacterium. RNAcentral describes it as "partial 16S ribosomal RNA". It matches the Rfam family "Bacterial small subunit ribosomal RNA", at positions 1446 to 1533 of the family's 1533-position model. The record is from RNAcentral.
GAGGCAAGCGCCGAAGGUAUGCGCGGUGAUUGGGGUGAAGUCGUAACAAGGUAGCCGUAGGGGAACCUGCGGCUGGAUCACCUCCUUUCUAGGGAG